GGGUUGUGAGGUUAAGCGACCAAGCGUACACGGUGGAUGCCCUGGCAGUCAGAGGCGAUGAAGGACGUGCUAAUCUGCGAAAAGCGCCGGUAAGGUGAUAUGAACCGUUAUAACCGGCGAUGUCCGAAUGGGGAAACCCAGUGUGACUCGUCACACUAUCAUUAACUGAAUCCAUAGGUUAAUGAGGCGAACCGGGGGAACUGAAACAUCUAAGUACCCCGAGGAAAAGAAAUCAACCGAGAUUCCCCCAGUAGCGGCGAGCGAACGGGGAGGAGCCCAGAGCCUGAAUCAGCAUGUGUGUUAGUGGAAGCGUCUGGAAAGGCGCGCGAUACAGGGUGAGAGCCCCGUACACAAAAGCGCAUAUGCUGUGAGCUCGAUGAGUAGGGCGGGACACGUGGUAUCCUGUCUGAAUAUGGGGGGACCAUCCUCCAAGGCUAAAUACUCCUGACUGACCGAUAGUGAACCAGUACCGUGAGGGAAAGGCGAAAAGAACCCCGGCGAGGGGAGUGAAACAGAACCUGAAACCGUGUACGUACAAGCAGUGGGAGCCUCUCUUUAUGGGGGGUGACUGCGUACCUUUUGUAUAAUGGGUCAGCGACUUAUAUUCUGUAGCAAGGUUAACCGCAUAGGGGAGCCGAAGGGAAACCGAGUCUUAACCGGGCGUUAAGUUGCAGGGUAUAGACCCGAAACCCGGUGAUCUAGCCAUGGGCAGGUUGAAGGUUGGGUAACACUAACUGGAGGACCGAACCGACUAAUGUUGAAAAAUUAGCGGAUGACCUGUGGCU
Molecule: ribosomal RNA, 785 nt
Filed under: Salmonella enterica
Lineage: Bacteria; Pseudomonadati; Pseudomonadota; Gammaproteobacteria; Enterobacterales; Enterobacteriaceae
Also listed under: 3 other names
Description: bacterial LSU rRNA
Rfam family: Bacterial large subunit ribosomal RNA
Source: RNAcentral